GUAACCUACGGGGGGCAGCAGUGGGGAAUAUUGCACAAUGGGGGAAACCCUGAUGCAGCGACGCCGCGUGAGUGAAGAAGUAUCUCGGUACGUAAAGCUCUAUCAGCAGGGAAGAAAAAAAGUCUUUGGCUUUGGACGGUACCUGACUAAGAAGCCCCGGCUAACUACGUGCCAGCAGCCGCGGUAAUACGUAGGGGGCAAGCGUUAUCCGGAUUUACUGGGUGUAAAGGGAGCGUAGACGGCCGUGCAAGUCUGAUGUGAAAACCCGGGGCUCAACCCCGGGACUGCAUUG
Molecule: ribosomal RNA, 292 nt
Filed under: uncultured bacterium
Lineage: Bacteria
Description: partial 16S ribosomal RNA
Rfam family: Bacterial small subunit ribosomal RNA
Source: RNAcentral